Pangasianodon hypophthalmus (striped catfish) is the source of this 5989-nucleotide long non-coding RNA. RefSeq lists it as uncharacterized. Lineage: Eukaryota; Metazoa; Chordata; Actinopteri; Siluriformes; Pangasiidae. The transcript is spliced from 2 exons. The record is from RefSeq and is a predicted model, not a curated record.
GACCUGGGGAUGGUGGGAGGAGGAGCUUGUAGACCUGGGGAUGGUGGGAGGAGGAGCUUGUAGACCUGGGGAUGGUGGGAGGAGGAGCUUGUAGGCCUUGGGUGUUGGUUGUUAGUUGGAAUAAACAGAGCUCUUAUCUUGUUUCCAAAGAACUGACAUUAACUGCUAUAAAAAUGAAAGGAGCUGAAGUUACACUGAAUCAGCCAAUCACAGACUUGAUCAUAUGGCAUCACCGCUAGCUACCAGUUUUAAAUACACAGUAGUUUAAAAACCAUUAGCUACUUAGUGUUAUAUGUUAUAAUUUGGUUAUAAUCAUGCCUGGCUAGCUAAUCUAAUCUAAUCUAAUCUAAUGUUGCUAAUGAAUAAUGAAAGUUUUUAUAAAUUUUUAUAAUUUUAUAGCUAAGCUGCUCCAAAGAAGUGAAAAGAAAGGCUAGCGAUGAUGUCACAGGAGUAACGCUCUAGGGGCAGAGGGACAGCGUGAGCUCCGGUCAUGAACAAUGACUGCAGAAAUGGAGAUUUAGAUCAGAUAAAGGCGGGAUUGUGACGAGAACUCGGCGAACAGGAAGCAGCAUAACUCCACACUCAUCACCGGGAAACUCCACACACACACACACACACACCCCGUUACGACUCAACACCGCUUACACACUUCUUGCAGAAUAAACCACUGUGUGUUUCAGUUCUGAUUUAACACAACACCAGACCUGAUAUAUGUCAUUUGAAUAUGCAAAUAGGUCAAGCAUCACAUCCUCCUGUCCCAGUGAACCAAUAUCUCUCUCUCUCUCUCUCUCUCUCUCUCUCUCUCUCUCUCUCUCUCUCUCUCUCUCACUCACUCACACACACACACACACACACACACACAAUUCCUUUCAUCCUGGGGAUUAUGGGUAAGUGAUGGACUAAUGCCACACCUCCAAAACCCCACAGCAUGUUGGUAACCGAGCAGGAGACAGCUGAUUGGUCGAGCUCGGGAGGUGUGUCCCGAAACAUUGCAACCGUCUACUGUGGGUUUAUUCAGGAUUUCAGAGAGAAAGUGAGAAAGAGACAGAAAGACAGUGAAAGAAAGAGAGCAAGAGAGAUAAAGAGAGACAGAGAUAGAAAGACAGAGAAAGCAAGAGGGAUAAAGUGAGAAAUAAAGUGAAAGAAAGAGAGAGUGAAACAGAGCAAGAGAGGUAAAGAGAGAGACAGAGAGAAAUAGAAAGAGUGAAAGAAAGAAAGAGCAGGAGGGAUAAAGAGAGAGAUAGAAAGACAGUGAAAGAAAGACAGAGAGAGAGAGAGAGAAAGACAGUGAGAGAAAGAUGGAGAGAACAAAAGAGAUGGACAAAGAGAGAGAGACAGUAAUGUGAUUACAUAUAAAUAUAGUUAUAUGUAAACAGUGUUCAGUUAGUUGUUAGUUAGUUGUUAGUUAGUUAAUAGUUAGUUGUGGUAAUGAACAUUGUGUAAAAGUCUGUUAUUUAAAAUAAGCUGCCCACACACACUACUGCACGUGUGAGGGGUUACAGAGCAGGAGGAUACAUCAGACCUCAAACACACACACACACACACACCACUUCCUCAUCAUAUGACAAUGACAGGACGUGUUUCAGUCACGUACACACACACACACACACACACACACACACACGCACAGAGUGGAGUUAUUGGUUAACUCGUGCCUGCUGUAAUGUAUAUAUAUAUAUAUAUAUAUAGAGACUACACCAGCACACUAACACACACACACACACACACGCUACACCAGCACACUAACACACACACACACGCUACACCAGCACACUUCCUGAAAGAAACAAUGUGCUUACACGCAGUUGAAAUAGAUGGAUGGAGGGUAAUUUUUCACUCUUGCAGCGUCACACACCCAUUUUAAAUUCUGGAACAGCUAUUUUCUAAAUUAAAAUUUAUUUAAAUCACACGUAAGCAAUUUUAUUCAUAAACAAGAUUUUAUCGUGUUAUUUUUUUCUCAUUGCUCAAACUUCACUUCCAGCAGCACCAUGAACCGGUUAUCUGGAGGCUUUGGGCAAAAUGACUUAUAAAAUAACCGACUGAAACUUUCCACUCAAACAAACACAAAAAAAAUCCUCACCUCUCCUCUAACAAACAUCGUCCUCAUAAACACUUUAGAGUACAGGAUUUUCCUCAACAGUGCGUACAAAUACAACCGGUCACGCUUUCUCUCAGUCUCCAGAAACUGUUGCUGUCAUGUAUUAACAUUAAUAUCAGCAAUUCUAAUCAGAGCCGUAAUAAAGCUUUUCUAGAUAGAUAGAUAGAUAGAUAGAUAGAGUUCUUUAUUGAUUCCUGAGUGAAAAUGUUUUGUCACACCAGUAGACAAUCGCACACACACCGUAUACUAACAAGACACACUUCAUCUGUAAGUCAGUAAGUAAGGAAGAUGCAUACAUGUCAUGUGGAAUACAGUGUCAUGUGGAAUACAGUGUCAUGUAGACCCCAGUGGCCUUCCUUGAAGAAAUGCACAUGCUCCUCAGUCUGUUCCCUCCUGACAGCUCCAGUUCUCUUGCCUUCUCCCUUUUCUGCAUUCCUUCUCCUUAAAAUUCAACAGCUGUGUACACACAAGGGAGGAAACGCCCUGGACCUUGUUUUACAUGCCAGAGUCUUUAAUGCUAAAAUGGCGACUGUUCUAUCUGCCUCAGGAGUUCACAUCUGUGAUCAUUGUUCCUGUGUUCGUCCCUCCGGACGCUAAUACAAAAGCAGCGCUUGGAUAAAUAAAUAUACGAGCUGGUGAGUAAAUUACAGACUGCACGACCAGACGGCUUCUGGGGACUUUAAUCAGACUAACAACAAAUUUCCAACACGUGAAGUCUGUAACCAGCAUCGCUGUUUGGUACGGGAACUGCCGUGAAUCAGACCGCAAGAUCCUGCAGCGGAUAGUGAAGACAGCGGAGAACAUCAUGGAGGUCCCUCUGCCUCCAAAACAGGACACAUACCUCAAACACUGCCUCAGCAAAGCCACCAAAAUGGUGGCUGACUCCUCCCAUCCCUCCCAUAAACACGUAAGCAGAAGAUACUGAAGCAUCCACACCAAGUCCACCAGAUUGAGGACCAGGUGCUUUCCACAAGCCCUCAAAGAUAAUCUGACUCUCAGCCACCUCCAGCCGAAUUAACGGGCACAGACCUCCAUCACACACUAGCCACUUUAAUCACUCCAUCUCUGUAUCCUGUUGGUUUUUGUUGCUGUUCUGUAUUCACAGUCAGGAUGCACCAUCCACCCACACCAGUAUUACCUGUCCUACAGGUACGCCACAACAACUCUCACAGACUUCUCACACACACACACACACACACACACACACACACACACACACUAUCCUGCUGUUCACACUGUUACAGCCGUUGUAACAGUUGUGUUGUGUGUUGAGUUUUCUGUCCAAUUCCAAUCUUUGCCGUUUGUUACAGGGUCUGAUAUCCGAUAUAUUUUCUCCAAAAUAUCCGAUCAAACAUAUUUGUCUGGCUUCGGCCCGAUAGCGAUGCUGGGCAUCAGAUUGGUACAGAGUGUUGUACAGAGUGUCUGUGUGAUUAAACUCAAAAUAUCACAGUGGAUUUUUGCUCAUUUUCAAUAAUAAAGGUGCCAAUACUUAUGGAGUCAACUCUAUAUAGGAGCCUGAUAUUUAAAAACAAACACAAGAUGUUUGAGUUUGUUCAUCUCGUUCUUUUAUUUCCCCACCCGUCUGUCUCUUUCUUUCUUCUGUGUCUGUGUCUGUGUGUGUGUGUGUGUGUGUGUGUGUGUGUGAACUAUAUCCUCGUUCAUGCACAUACAAUCUCGGUGAGUCAGAGUGGGAGGAGCUUCUCUGUGUCUGAUCAUAAAUACACAUAAUGCUCAUUGUUUUGCUCAGCACACGCACACACACGCACACACACACACACACACACACACACACACACACACACACACUCACUGUGUGGAACACGGAACUAACACUGUUAUUAAACAUGGUGAAGGGUGUGGCCCAGAAAGAUUCAUCUAUUAUUGAUUAACUCACCAAAAAUAAACAGUAGCAGAACUCUCAGGGUGGAACGUAGUGUGUUUGCGUGCGUGCGUGUGUGUGUGUGUGUGUGUGCAUGUGCAUGCGUGCGUGUGUGUGUGUGUGUGUGUGUGUGUGCGUGUGAUGGAAAUUGCUGAUGGAAUAUCAGAGAGAUGGUGGUGCAUUAAUGAGCUCUCUGCUUACAUCCCAAGCUCUCACAAUAUAUGUGUGUGUGUGUGUGUGUGUGUGUGUGUGUGUGAUGUAAUGACUGGAAUAUAUGGGGAAUAUUUAAGACCUUGGAUCUCGGCUCAGGAAUGUGAGAGGAACGUCAAACUUGCGCUGACUUGUUACUCUUUACCUCCCUGUCCUAUGGUGUGAAUUUGAGGAAAAUUGGAGAAAGUUGAAUUUUUCAUCCACAAAAAAAAUCACAAAGGCUUACUGUUACUUACUCACUGUUUUUUUGGAUGAAAAAUUCGACUUUCUCUGAUUUUCCCCAAAUUCUCACCGUAGGAUAGAGAGGUUCAGAGUGACAAGUCAGCGAAAGGUUGACGUUCCUCUCACAUUCCUGAGCCGAGAUCCGUCUCCGUCUCCAGCUCUUCUGUAGCGAUGGCACAAUACUUCAUGUUCUCUUAGAUGCAGGUCUUGUAACGCUGCUUUGGACGUCCAUGCGGUUUCUGGCCUUGUGAUAAAGCGUCGUACGGGAUUUGGAAAGCGUAUGUGGAAUUGCUGGAGCUGUUUGAUAUGCUUCCUGUCUCACAUCAGUAUAGGAGGCUGGUGAGGUAACUACUGCAUUGUACGCUCUGAUCUUUGUGGACAGACCUGAUUUCACUGUAUUGUGGAGAGACUGAGCAGGUGGACGAGAGCGUAGAAUCGUUUUAUUCAUAUGGACUUCCUGUUAAAGAUCAUGUGUCUGUGUCUGAUGUCUCAGUGUACACCAAUGUCACCAAUAUAACUAAUAUCACUAAUGUAACUAAUAUCACUAAUGACACUAAUUUCACUAAUAUAACUAAUAUCACUAAUGACACCAAUGUCACCAAUGUCACUAAUGUCACUAAUAUAACUAAUAUCACUAAUGACACCAAUGUCACCAAUGUCACUAAUGUCACUAAUAUAACUAAUAUCACUAAUGACACCAAUGUCACCAAUGUCACUAAUGUCACUAUUGACAUCAGUGUCUCUAAUAUCACUAAUAUCACUAAUGACACCAAUGUCACCAAUGUCACUAAUGUCACUAUUGACAUCAGUGUCUCUAAUAUCACUAAUAUCACUAAUGACACCAAUGUCACCAAUGUCACUAAUGUCACUAUUGACAUCAGUGUCUCUAAUAUCACUAAUAUCACUAAUGACACCAAUGUCAUGAAUGUCACCAAUGUCACUAAUAUAACUAAUGCCAAUAAUGUCAAUGUCACUAAUUUAAUAAUGUAACAUGUCAAUAAUGUAACUAAUGUCACUAAUAUCACUAAUGACACCAAUGUCACCUGUGUCAAUAAUGUCACUAAUAUCACUAAUGGCACUAAUGGCACUAAUGACAUCAAUGUCACCAAUGUCAUGAAUGUCACCAAUGUCACUAAUAUAACUAAUGCCAAUAAUGUCAAUGUCACUAAUUUAAUAAUGUAACAUGUCAAUAAUGUAACUAAUGUCACUAAUGUCAAUUUCACUAAUGUCAAUAAUGUCACCACUAAUGUCACCAAAGUCACUAAUAUCACAAAUAUCACUAAUGGCACUUUCACUAAUACCACUAAUUUUGUAGACCUGAUUUAUUUACUUCCCUACACACAGACCCUGCACUCUACAAACUCUAACCUCUAAACUCUUCUCCAGCUCAUGAUGAGUCGGUUUCAGGAAGUUCACACUCACUUUAAUUCACAGAGCAGAGUUCCAGAGAUUCACACGGUGUUUAAUCGUCACAUUGAGGAAUCACAUGAUCACCUCAGCAGCGUCAGUGUUCAGCGCUGUAAUAAACUCAUAUACACUCAUCUCGAACGUAAAAAUAAAUACACCAAUAAAAGAAUAAA